AGGAGGGGUGCAGGAGAUGGAGAAAGGAGAGGUGGGGUGCAGUGUCUGAAGAAGGGGUGCGGGAUCCGGAGAAGAGGUGCAGGGCUCUUGGGGGGUCUGGGGUCGGUGCCCAGCUGGGUGUGGGGGUCCCCGGGCUGGAAAACCUCGCUACCCAGGGAUGCUGAGCGGGGCUGGGCAUGGGGAGGGGGUUUGGGGUUUCCUCCCGGCGCUGGAAGCCCAGCCCAGGAAAUUCUUCCGGGCAGCCUCUCAAGCCCCUCUUUGUGCUCUUGGGAUUUUUAACAUUCCCGGCGGCUGCGGAUGGGGUGCCCGGUGCCGGCCCGGGUGCCCGGUUCCAGAUGGGCUGCCCAGCUUUCCCAGGCUGUGCCGGGACGGAUGGGAUGGGAUCUGGUGUGGAUUUAGGGGAUGCGGCUGCCCAUUCCCACUCAUCCCAUCGGAGCCAAGCGCUGCGCCGCUCACCGGGGUGCCAAGGGGACCCUGUGCCACCCCCGGGGGAUCCUCAGCGUCCUUUACCGGCGUGGAUUUGCCGUGGGAUGAAGGGCUGGCGCUGCUGGUCCCUGCUGGGUGUCGGAGCCUGCUGUGGUGAGCAGCAGGACCCGUCCCGCGCUGCCACAUCCUCCCCUCCAAACCCCACUGGCUCUGCCAGGCCACAGCGCUGGCCUUGCUGCCAAGGCGUCACAGAUUUCCUGCCUUGCUCCAGCUCCUGGGAACGACCUUGGCUGUGUCAGCUGCACCGCCGGGUGCCUGGGACCCCCUGUCCCCGGGGGAGGAACCCGCCAGCCUUGGGGGACAAGAGGAAGCGGCGGUGGCUGCUGACACCCUGCGAGGACCUGGGUCCCCUCCCCGGAAGGAAAGCGCUGCCGCCGCUGGGGACCCUCAGGAGCCGCCGCUGCCAUGCCGGUGACUGUGACACUGCCCGGCCCGGCCCCCUGGGGCUUCCGCAUCUCCGGGGGAAGAGAUUUCGGGAAGCCCAUCACCGUCUCCAAGGUAGGAGCCCCCCACGUGUCCCCCGGCCGGGCAGGCCGGGCUGCUCCGGUGAGCGGAUCCUGUUUGCUGUCCUUGAGG
RNAcentral lists this long non-coding RNA (1062 nucleotides) under Cyanistes caeruleus (blue tit). Its description in RNAcentral is "lncRNA (ENSCCEG00000004858.1)". Lineage: Eukaryota; Metazoa; Chordata; Aves; Passeriformes; Paridae. The record is from RNAcentral.